Molecule: long non-coding RNA, 613 nt
Organism: Camponotus floridanus (Florida carpenter ant)
Lineage: Eukaryota; Metazoa; Arthropoda; Insecta; Hymenoptera; Formicidae
Exons: 3
Source: RefSeq, a predicted model, not a curated record
AUCGCUGCUGAUGACCGCUGCUGCUGAUCUGGGGCCGCGAGAGCGACGAGAGCCGCCUUCCGAGAGCCGCUAUCAGUCCUUGUAUACACCUGUCUACCUGUCUACGCACGCACGAUGAUGUAAAAUCGAAACAGGCGACUGACGCGACACGCGAUAUCAUCUAGCAACACCGAUACCGAUUCCGCUCUUAUGGACCAUGGACCGAUUAUUACUUGUUUUAACAGAAGAAGUUUGCUACCAUUGUCAGCGAUAUAAGAUAUUCCACUCUCGCAAGUUGCUCGUACGAGAGAGAAAAAGUCGUCAAGAAUGGAUACUCCGCAAGUCGAUAUGAUAUGUCCCAAUUGUAAAACUAAUGUUACAUUAAUUCGAGAUGUGCCUCCUGAAAAUAAAUCCUCAAUGGAAGUAACAAUUUCAAUAUAUACAAAUGGACAACAACAUGUGAAAAUAAUCUGCCCGAAAUGUCAUCAAAACAUUACUUAUGGUUCAUAAGUCUCACUCUUUUAUUUGGAAAAGUCAUAAUAUGGAUAUAUCUAUUAAUUUUUGACUAAAUAAAUUAAAGAAGAAGAAGACUUGUUCUAGCUGGACACACCAGUGAUGUACACAUAUAUACAUA